UGUGUAGGCGGUUCUUUAAGUUUGGUGUGAAAUCUCCCGGCUCAACUGGGAGGGUGCGCCGAAUACUGAGGGACUAGAGUACGGGAGAGGAAAGUGGAAUUCCUGGUGUAGCGGUGAAAUGCGUAGAUAUCAGGAGGAACACCGGUGGUGUAGACGGCUUUCUGGACCGUAACUGACGCUGAGACACGAAAGCGUGGGUAGCAAACAG
RNAcentral lists this ribosomal RNA (208 nucleotides) under uncultured bacterium. RNAcentral's name for it is "partial 16S ribosomal RNA". It matches the Rfam family "Bacterial small subunit ribosomal RNA", at positions 568 to 775 of the family's 1533-position model. The record is from RNAcentral.